RNAcentral lists this ribosomal RNA (616 nucleotides) under Leuconostoc lactis. RNAcentral describes it as "bacterial SSU rRNA". It matches the Rfam family "Bacterial small subunit ribosomal RNA", at positions 78 to 680 of the family's 1533-position model. The record is from RNAcentral. Lineage: Bacteria; Bacillati; Bacillota; Bacilli; Lactobacillales; Lactobacillaceae.
GCUUGCACCUUUCAAGCGAGUGGCGAACGGGUGAGUAACACGUGGAUAACCUGCCUCAAGGCUGGGGAUAACAUUUGGAAACAGAUGCUAAUACCGAAUAAAACUUAGUAUCGCAUGAUACAAAGUUGAAAGGCGCUACGGCGUCACCUAGAGAUGGGUCCGCGGUGCAUUAGUUAGUUGGUGGGGUAAAGGCCUACCAAGACAAUGAUGCAUAGCCGAGUUGAGAGACUGAUCGGCCACAUUGGGACUGAGACACGGCCCAAACUCCUACGGGAGGCUGCAGUAGGGAAUCUUCCACAAUGGGCGAAAGCCUGAUGGAGCAACGCCGCGUGUGUGAUGAAGGCUUUAGGGUCGUAAAGCACUGUUGUAUGGGAAGAAAUGCUAGAAUAGGGAAUGAUUCUAGUUCGACGGUACCAUACCAGAAAGGGACGGCUAAAUACGUGCCAGCAGCCGCGGUAAUACGUAUGUCCCGAGCGUUAUCCGGAUUUAUUGGGCGUAAAGCGAGCGCAGACGGUUGAUUAAGUCUGAUGUGAAAGCCCGGAGCUCAACUCCGGAAUGGCAUUGGAAACUGGUUAACUUGAGUGUUGUAGAGGUAAGUGGAACUCCUGGGAAAAGC